CUACGGGAGGCAGCAGUGGGGAAUUUUCCGCAAUGGGCGAAAGCCUGACGGAGCAAGACCGCGUGGGGGAAGAAGGCUCUUGGGUUGUAAACCCCUUUUCUCUGGGAAGAAAGUUGUGAAAGCAGCCUGACGGUACCAGAGGAAUCAGCAUCGGCUAACUCCGUGCCAGCAGCCGCGGUAAGACGGAGGAUGCAAGCGUUAUCCGGAAUGAUUGGGCGUAAAGCGUCCGCAGGUGGCAGUUCAAGUCUGCUGUCAAAGACCGGGGCUUAACCUCGGAAAGGCAGUGGAAACUGAACAGCUAGAGUAUGGUAGGGGCAAAGGGAAUUCCUGGUGUAGCGGUGAAAUGCGUAGAGAUCAGGAAGAACAUCGGUGGCGAAGGCGCUUUGCUGGACCAUAACUGACACUCAGGGACGAAAGCUAGGGGAGCGAAUGGGAUUAGAUACCCGUGUAGUC
This 453-nucleotide ribosomal RNA is filed under the name uncultured bacterium. RNAcentral's name for it is "bacterial SSU rRNA". It matches the Rfam family "Bacterial small subunit ribosomal RNA", at positions 339 to 795 of the family's 1533-position model. The record is from RNAcentral.